Molecule: ribosomal RNA, 680 nt
Filed under: uncultured bacterium
Lineage: Bacteria
Description: bacterial SSU rRNA
Rfam family: Bacterial small subunit ribosomal RNA
Source: RNAcentral
GCAGUCGAGGGGUAACAGGGAAAGCUUGCUUUCCGCUGACGACCGGCGCACGGGUGCGUAACGCGUAUGCAACCUACCUUCAACUGGAGGAUAGCCCGGGGAAACUCGGAUUAAUACUCCAUAAUAAUUCAAAUUCGCAUGUUUUUGAAUUUAAAGUUCCGGCGGUUGAAGAUGGGCAUGCGUCCUAUUAGUUAGUUGGUGAGGUAACGGCUCACCAAGACUUCGAUAGGUAGGGGGCCUGAGAGGGUGAUCCCCCACACUGGUACUGAGACACGGACCAGACUCCUACGGGAGGCAGCAGUGAGGAAUAUUGCACAAUGGACGAAAGUCUGAUGCAGCCAUGCCGCGUGCAGGAUUGAGGCCCUAUGGGUUGUAAACUGCUUUUAUAAAGGAAGAAACCCCUGAACGUGUUCGGGGCUGACGGUACUUUAUGAAUAAGCACCGGCUAACUCCGUGCCAGCAGCCGCGGUAAUACGGAGGGUGCAAGCGUUAUCCGGAUUCAUUGGGUUUAAAGGGUGCGUAGGCGGAUUAUUAAGUCAGUGGUGAAAGCCUGCAGCUUAACUGUAGAAUUGCCAUUGAUACUGAUAGUCUUGAGUUUGGUUGAGGUAGGCGGAAUGAGGCAUGUAGCGGUGAAAUGCAUAGAUAUGCCUCAGAACACCAAUUGCGAAGGCAGCUUACUA